GAAGUACACUUGAGAACUCAGAAGGCUUUCAAACUAGCAGAAGAGGAGGACGGAAGAAAAUUACUAACAAACUUGUGAUGCCAACCGAAUGUUACAAGAAAAAUACACAAAGUAGAGGUGGCUAAAAUUGACUGGAAUCUGGGAUUAGACCAGACAACAUCUAGAAAGAACACAAAUGUCAACCAGUAAUUAUUACACCAUUAAAACUCUUGACAAAAUACUAAAGAUUAGUAUGCAAAAUAAUUAGAUCAACAUUGGCUUUGGCUUUUUUUCUCUCUAUAAUCUGUCGCUAGAACUUCAUCACCUAACCAAAAAAAAAAAAAAAAAAAAAAAAAAAAAAAGGAAAUAAGAAAGGAAGGGAAGUGCAAGUAGCUUGCUUCCAAUGUGCGAAGAAAUUAAAAGAGGACCCAAACCCCAAGCAAGGGGUUUUAGUACAAUAUACUUCAGGAUCAUAACACAGCAAAAUUACUUUCUCAGAUUGAGUACCAACAAGAGGAUCAGAAAAGAAGGAACACACAAAAAUAAGAAGAGGAGUAAAUUACCCCA
Molecule: long non-coding RNA, 546 nt
Filed under: Ananas comosus (pineapple)
Lineage: Eukaryota; Viridiplantae; Streptophyta; Magnoliopsida; Poales; Bromeliaceae
Description: long non-coding RNA (ACOM_LNC017968)
Source: RNAcentral